This 292-nucleotide ribosomal RNA is filed under the name uncultured bacterium. RNAcentral describes it as "partial 16S ribosomal RNA". It matches the Rfam family "Bacterial small subunit ribosomal RNA", at positions 505 to 796 of the family's 1533-position model. The record is from RNAcentral.
GUGCCAGCCGCCGCGGUAAUACGGAGGGUGCAAGCGUUAUCCGGAUUUAUUGGGUUUAAAGGGUCCGUAGGCGGGGAUCUAAGUCAGUGGUGAAAGCCUGCAGCUCAACUGUAGAAUUGCCAUUGAUACUGGAUUUCUUGAGUACAUUUGAAGUUAGCGGAAUGUGUCAUGUAGCGGUGAAAUGCUUAGAUAUGACACAGAACACCGAUUGCGAAGGCAGCUAACUAAGAUGUCACUGACGCUGAGGGACGAAAGCGUGGGGAUCAAACAGGAUUAGAAACCCCUGUAGUCC